This is a long non-coding RNA of Ruditapes philippinarum (Manila clam), 353 nucleotides long. RefSeq lists it as uncharacterized. The transcript is spliced from 2 exons. The record is from RefSeq and is a predicted model, not a curated record. NCBI's taxonomy places the organism in Eukaryota, Metazoa, Mollusca, Bivalvia, Venerida, Veneridae.
AAAAGGUUUAACUUGUCACCACGUCAAAGCUGCAAGUACUCUCGCACAGACUAACAUGAAUAAAUCAUUGUUGAUAAUAUUGAUGGUGGGCUGUAUAACCAUGUUGGUUCUUCCAGAUGCUGCACACGCUCAGUUCUCAGGUGCUAGAAGACGUUGCUACUGUCGACAUCAAUGCCACUUCGGAGACUAUUACAUUCGAAACUGCGGUUUGGGAAGACGACUUUGUUGUAGACAACAUUUUGGAUGACAGCACGUCGACACAUAAAUGUAAAGAGUAGUGACGAGUAUGAAAUUAUUCUUCUCGAUUCUUUGUCCAAUGGGGAUCUAUUACAUAUAGAAAUAUUUGGAUACUU